RNAcentral lists this small RNA (998 nucleotides) under uncultured bacterium. Its description in RNAcentral is "bacterial SSU rRNA". The stretch from base 1 to 481 matches the Rfam family "Bacterial small subunit ribosomal RNA", at positions 1045 to 1533 of the family's 1533-position model. The record is from RNAcentral.
AUGGCUGUCGUCAGCUCGUGCCGUGAGGUGUUGGGUUAAGUCCCGCAACGAGCGCAACCCCUACUGUUAGUUGCCAGCGGAUAAUGCCGGGGACUCUAGCAGAACUGCCAGCGCAAGCUGAGAGGAAGGUGGGGACGACGUCAAAUCAUCACGGCCCUUACAUCCUGGGCCACACACGUGCUACAAUGGUAGUGACAGAGGGCAGCCACUGGGUAACCAGGAGCGAAUCCCUUAAACACUAUCUCAGUUCGGAUCGAAGUCUGCAACUCGACUUCGUGAAGCUGGAAUCGCUAGUAAUCGCGCAUCAGCCAUGGCGCGGUGAAUACGUUCCCGGGCCUUGUACACACCGCCCGUCAAGCCAUGGAAGCUGGGAGUGCCUGAAGUCGGUAACCGCAAGGAGCUGCCUAGGGUAAAACUAGUAACUAGGGCUAAGUCGUAACAAGGUAGCCGUACCGGAAGGUGUGGCUGGAACACCUCCUUUCUAGAGAAAUAUCUCUAAAUAUUAAAAUGAUCGGCUCUUGAAAUUUACAUUUCUUAGAUCUUCGGUUGGCUCUUUUGAUUUCACAAUACUUUGUCUCUUUUUUUUGCUACACAGUCUCGUAGCUCAGGUGGUUAGAGCGCAACACUGAUAAUGUUGAGGUCGGCAGUUCGAGUCUGCCCGGGACUACGAGAUACUUAAAGUUGAAUAAAUUUUUAGGAAUUUAUUUUUCUGUAGGAAAAAAGAGGGGGAUUAGCUCAGCUGGCUAGAGCGCCUGCCUUGCACGCAGGAGGUCAUCGGUUCGACUCCGAUAUUCUCCACAUCCCCAGUUUAUACUGGGACAAAGUUCUUUGACAUAUUGGAGCAACAUAGAAUAAUCAUCAAGUUGAUGAAAAAUUAAAUAAGGGCACACGGUGGAUGCCUUGGGAUCUAGAGGCGAUGAAGGACGUGGUAAGCUGCGAUAAGCUUCGGGGAGCUGCAACGAGUGCUAAUCCGAAGAUUUCCGAAUGGGGAAACCCGG